GAUGAACGCUGGCGGCGUGCUUAACACAUGCAAGUCGAACGGAAAGGCCCAAGCUUGCUUGGUUCCUCGAGUGGCGAACGGGUGAGUAACACGUGGUUGAUCUGCCCUGCACUUCGGGAUAAGCCUGGGAAACUGGGUCUCAUACCGGAUAUGACCCCUUCUUGGAUGUUGUUGUGGAAAGUUUUUUCGGUGUGGGAUGAGCUCGCGGCCUAUCCGCUUGUUGGUGGGGUUAUGGCCUACCAAGGCGUCGACGGGUCGCCGGCCUGAGAGGGUGUACGGCCACAUUGGGACUGAGAUACGGCACAGACUCCUACGGGAGGCAGCAGUGGGGAAUAUUGCACAAUGGGCGCAAGCCUGAUGCAGCGACGCCGCGUGGGGGAUGACGGCCUUCGGGUUGUAAACUCCUUUCGCUAGGGACGAAGCGUUUUGUGACGGUACCUGGAGAAGAAGCACCGGCUAACUACGUG
Molecule: ribosomal RNA, 467 nt
Filed under: uncultured bacterium
Lineage: Bacteria
Description: partial 16S ribosomal RNA
Rfam family: Bacterial small subunit ribosomal RNA
Source: RNAcentral